UGCGUAGGCGGCGAUUCAAGUCAGAUGUGAAAUGCCUGAGCUCAACUGAGGCAUUGCGUUUGAAACUGAAUUGCUAGAGUAUCCUAGGGGUGUGCGGAACUGCCAGUGGAACGGUGAAAUGUGUUGAUAUUGGCAGGAACACCGGAGGCGAAAGCGGCACACUGGGGGAUAACUGACGCUGAGGCACGAAAGCCAAGGGAGCGAACGGGAUUAGAUACCCCGGUAGUCUUGGCCGUAAACGAUGAGUACUGGGCGGGAGGGGGUUUCCCCUUUCUGCCGUAGCGAAAGCGUUAAGUACUCCGCCUGGGGAGUAUGGUCGCAAGGCUGAA
Molecule: ribosomal RNA, 329 nt
Filed under: uncultured Planctomycetota bacterium
Lineage: Bacteria; Pseudomonadati; Planctomycetota
Description: bacterial SSU rRNA
Rfam family: Bacterial small subunit ribosomal RNA
Source: RNAcentral